UUUUUGGGAUUUUUUUGGGAUUUUUUUUGAUUUUUGGGGAUUUUUUGGGAUUUUUUUGGGGAUUUUUUUGGGAUUUUUUUGGGAUUUUUUUGGGAUUUUUUUGGAUUUUUGGGGGAUUUUUUUGGGAUUUUUGGGGGGUUUUUUGGGGAUUUUUGGGGAUUUUGGGGGGAUUUUUUUGGAUUUUUUUGGGAUUUUUGGGGAUUUUUUGGGGAUUUUUUUGGGAUUUUUUUUGAGGUUUUUUGGGGUUUUUUGGGAUUUUUUUGGGGAAUUUUGGGGGAUUUUGGGGGGAUUUUUUGGGGGGGAUUUUUUGAAGUUUUUUGGGGUUUUUUGGGGGAUUUUUUUUGGGAUUUUUUUGGGAUUUUUCUUUUGGAUUUUUUUUGGAUUUUUUGUGAUUUUUUGGGGAUUUUUUGGGGAUUUUUUUGGGAUUUUUUUUUUUUUUGAUUUUUUGGGGAUUUUUUGGGAUUUUUGGGGAUUUUUUGGGGAUUUUUUGGGAUUUUUUGGGAUUUUUUUUGAGGUUUUUUUGGGGUUUUUUGGGGGAUUUUUGGGGAUUUGGGGUUCAGGGAUUUUUUUGGGGUGUCCCCCGGGAUUUUGGGGUGUCUCACCUGUCGAUCCCCCGCACUGGAUGGGAUUUGGGGCAGAUUUGGGGGAUUUUUAGGUGGAUUUGGGUGCCCAAUAAUGAGAUUUUUAUGGGAUUUUUUGGGUUUUUUUGGGAUUUUUGGGGUUUUUUUGGGGAUUUUGGGUUCAGGAUUUUUUUGGGGUGUCCCCCGGGAUUUUGGGGUGUCCCACCUGUGGAUCCCUGAGCACUGGAUGGGAUUUUGGAUGGAUUUGGGUGCCCAAUAAUGGGAUUUUUAUGGGAUUUUGGGGAUUUUUGGGGCAUUUUUGGGGUUUUUUUGGGAUUUUGGGGGGAUUUGGGGUUCAGGGACAUUUUUGGGGUGUCCCCCGGGAUUUUGGGGUGUCCCACCUGUGGAUCCCCAAGCACUGGAUGGGAUUUGGGGCGGAUUUGGGGGAUUUUGGAUGGAUUUGGGUGCCCAAUAAUGGGAUUUUUAUGGGAUUUUUAUGGGAUUUUUGGGGUUUGUUUGGGAUUUUGGGGGGAUUUGGGGUUCAGGGACAUUUUUGGGGUGUCCCCCGGGAUUUUGGGGUGUCCCACCUGUGGAUCCCCGAGCACUGGAUGGGAUUUGGGGCGGAUUUGGGUGCCCAAUAAUGGAAUUUUUAUGGGAUUUUUAUGGGAUUUCUGGGGGUUUUUUUGGAUUUUGGGGGGAUUUGGGGUUCGGGAUUUUUUUGGGGUGUCCCCCGGGAUUUUGGGGUGUCUCACCUGUCGAUCCCCCGCACUGGAUGGGAUUUGGGGCAGAUUUGGGGGAUUUUUAGGUGGAUUUGGGUGCCCAAUAAUGAGAUUUUUAUGGGAUUUUUUUGGGUUUUUUUGGGAUUUUUGGGGUUUUUUUGGGGAUUUUGGGUUCGGGAUUUUUUUGGGGGGUUCAGGGAUUUUUUUGGGGUGUCCCCCGGGAUUUUGGGGUGUCCCACCUGUGGAUCCCCGGGCACUGGAUGGGAUUUGGGGCGGAUUUGGGUGCCCAAUAAUGGGAUUUUUAUGGGAUUUUUGGGGUUUUUUGGGGAUUUUUGGGGAUUUUGGGCUCAGGAUUUUUUUGGGGUGUUCAGGGAUUUUUUUGGGGAUUUUUUUGGGGGGUUCAGGGAUUUUUUUGGGGUGUCCCCCGGGAUUUUGGGGUGUCCCACCUGUGGAUCCCCCGCGCUGGAUGGGAUUUGGGGUGGAUUUGCGUGCCCAAUAAUGGGAUUUUUAUGGGAUUUUUGGGGUUUUUUGGGGAUUUUUGGGGAUUUUGGGUUCAGGAUUUUUUUGGGGUGUUCAGGGAUUUUUUUGGAGUGUCCCCCGGGAUUUUGGGGUGUCCCACCUGUGGAUCCCCGAGCACUGGAUGCACAGGGUGAUGCCCAGGUUGACGCUGGCCCAUUGUGGGGAGGGGUCCCGGCAGUCGCAGCAGCUCC
This 1989-nucleotide long non-coding RNA is filed under the name Cyanistes caeruleus (blue tit). RNAcentral describes it as "lncRNA (ENSCCEG00000003669.1)". The record is from RNAcentral. Lineage: Eukaryota; Metazoa; Chordata; Aves; Passeriformes; Paridae.